GGUGUCACGCUGACAGCAGAGGACUUUGUAGUUCUUGUCACUACUUUUGACUAUGGAAUGAAAGACAAGGACCCCAUCAAUAAUGUGUAUUUCUACAACAAGAGAAAUCCUGACAAAGCAUUCAACAUCACCAGAGACCAGGUGUCCAAGCUUCUCCCAGCAUGCUUUUCUGAGCAGCUGAUUGGGGUUUACAGUAAGAAGACUGAUGACCAG
This is a long non-coding RNA of Perca flavescens (yellow perch), 213 nucleotides long. RefSeq lists it as uncharacterized. The transcript is spliced from 3 exons. NCBI's taxonomy places the organism in Eukaryota, Metazoa, Chordata, Actinopteri, Perciformes, Percidae. The record is from RefSeq and is a predicted model, not a curated record.